Molecule: small nuclear RNA, 107 nt
Organism: Alexandromys fortis (reed vole)
Lineage: Eukaryota; Metazoa; Chordata; Mammalia; Rodentia; Cricetidae
Source: RefSeq, a predicted model, not a curated record
GUGCUUGCUGCUGCAGCACACUAAAAUUGGAACAAUACAGAGAAGAUUAGCAUGGCAAAUUCGUGAAGUGUUUCAUAUUUUAAAAAGAAAGAAAUUAGCUGAUUUUU